Molecule: ribosomal RNA, 271 nt
Filed under: uncultured bacterium
Lineage: Bacteria
Description: partial 16S ribosomal RNA
Rfam family: Bacterial small subunit ribosomal RNA
Source: RNAcentral
GAUGAACGCUAGCGGCAGGCUUAAUACAUGCAAGUCGAACGGUAAGUAGUGUAGCAAUACAUUACCAAGAGUGACGUACGGGUGCGUAACACGUAUGCAACCUACCUUGUACAGGAGUAUAGCUCGGGGAAACUCGAAUUAACCCUCCAUAAGAUCGUGGUGUGGCAUCACACAGCGAUAAAAACUCAGGUGGUACAAGCUGGGCAUGCGUCUGAUUAGAGUUGGCGGGGUAACGCCCACCAAGACGAUGAUCAGUAGGGGAACUGAGAGG